This 253-nucleotide ribosomal RNA is filed under the name uncultured bacterium. RNAcentral's name for it is "partial 16S ribosomal RNA". It matches the Rfam family "Bacterial small subunit ribosomal RNA", at positions 524 to 776 of the family's 1533-position model. The record is from RNAcentral.
UACAGGGGGUGCAAACGUUGCUCGGAAUUAUUGGGCGUAAAGCGCACGUAGGCGGUUCGUUAUGUCAGAUGUGAAAGCCCUUGGCUCAACUGAGGAAGUGCAUCUGAAACUGGCGAGCUAGAGUAUGUAAGAGGGUCGCGGAAUUCCCGGUGUAGAGGUGAAAUUCGUAGAUAUCGGGGGGAACACCGGUGGCGAAGGCGGCGACCUGGGACAAUACUGACGCUGAGGUGCGAAAGCGUGGGGAGCAAACAGG